AAAGCAAACUUAAUUCCAUACCAGAUCUGUUGUCGCUUCAAUCUUCCAACUUGCUGGAAUGCCGGUGAACUUGACGGCUAACGCGAUCUCGGCGAUUAACGCCGGUGACGUGAACUCAAAGCCAGUGGUUCAGGUAUUGGACAUCAAGUUAAUCGGCACCACACAGGAACGGUACCGACUCACACUCUCCGAUUCUGAGUCCACUCAGCAGGCUAUGCUAGCUACUCAGCUCAAUGACCGAGUCAAAACUGGCCGUGUUCGU
This 262-nucleotide unclassified non-coding RNA is filed under the name Hevea brasiliensis (rubber tree). Lineage: Eukaryota; Viridiplantae; Streptophyta; Magnoliopsida; Malpighiales; Euphorbiaceae. The record is from RNAcentral.